RNAcentral lists this long non-coding RNA (299 nucleotides) under Gossypium raimondii (Peruvian cotton). RNAcentral describes it as "long non-coding RNA (GRAI_LNC004649)". Lineage: Eukaryota; Viridiplantae; Streptophyta; Magnoliopsida; Malvales; Malvaceae. The record is from RNAcentral.
UCAACGAAAGGCUUCUCAUUUUAAUGAUUUCUACUUUUGUAAUGGAAUUGAAAUAGCAUGUGAAAAAGAAAAAGAAAAAGAGCGCGAGCGAGAAAAUGAACAUGAAAAAGAAAUGAAAGAAAAAGAAGAUGAGUGGGAGAUAGAAAAGAAAAUUGAAAAUGAGAUUGAGAAUAAAAACGAGUGCGAAAAAGAAAAGGAAACUGAAAAAGAGAGUGAGAUUGAAGGAAGAAACGAGAGUGCAAAAGAAAUGAGUGAUAUGGUAAAAGAAAGAGGAUUUGAAAGAACAAAAAAAGAAAUUG